Molecule: long non-coding RNA, 777 nt
Organism: Caenorhabditis elegans
Lineage: Eukaryota; Metazoa; Nematoda; Chromadorea; Rhabditida; Rhabditidae
Gene: K09A9.12
Product: ncRNA
Source: Ensembl
CCUUGCCUAGCAGACGUUCCUUCCUUCUUUAUGGUUAUCGAAAGAGCCAUUUUUUUAUUUGCGCUACCGUCUGACCUACCCAUCUUUCGUUUCAUCAAUGCAAACAAUGAAACUAGUACACACUCAAAACGACCUAUCAAAUGGUUGGCUCAAUGCAUCAUGAAGCUGUCAUUUGUCCAUUCACACAUUUUACACUAUUUUUUGAACUAAAGUGCAUGUGAAAGUUUUUGUUAGGCUAUCAGGAUGAUUAGGUUUUAAAGUGAUUCAUUUUUACAACAGUUGCUAUUUAUUUAUAAAUGUUUUAGUUUACACUUCUAGAGCAUGGGUCAUAAGAAUUUGACCUCUAACCUAGAGUAAUUAAUCAAUCUAUCAAGUUAAAUGACGUCAAGUGAUAGGGAGCAAGUGUCUCUACAAGUUGAUGAUCAUGAAGCAGAAUUAUUUCAUUUCAAAAAAAAAAUAGGAUGAGUGUUCAAAUUGAAAAUUAGAAAGGGUAUUUUUUAUAGGCGAAGGCUUUCGAAAUCGUAGUAAACUCGUAGUAUAUAUUUUAGAAAACUACUUUCUAAUUCUUUCUUCAAAUUUUAAAGCUUCCAUUUAAAUUUUUAGAUUUUUCUCUUUUUAGUCCCUUUUAAAACACAUAUGUUUAAUCAAUCUCUUACCACAAUACGAAUAUGAAGUUCGCUCUUAUCCUUAUUGCCCUGUGACGUCAUCAUUUAUCAAGAAAUGAAUAGCAUUCUUUUGAGCACACACACACACGUGUGGUUGGUGACCCUGGCCAAC